This 1005-nucleotide long non-coding RNA is filed under the name Macaca mulatta (Rhesus monkey). RNAcentral describes it as "lncRNA (ENSMMUG00000056398.1)". The record is from RNAcentral. Lineage: Eukaryota; Metazoa; Chordata; Mammalia; Primates; Cercopithecidae.
GAUGGACUCUUCCUUUCUCUGUCUCUCCGGCGUCUGACUGAGGCAUGUUUUUGGGACUCUAGUGAGAAGGACUCCGGUUUUCAGAACACCUGCAAUAUAGGCAGAGCACCAAUCUAAGCCUGCAGAGACUAGACAAGAACAGCUGGAAGAUGUCUUCUUUCCCUCCUUCCUUCCCCUUGUGCCCCCUCCUCAAACUAGAAAGUGAUGGGAUCUUUGUGUCAUUUGCAUGAUGACUUCUGGGACUCCUGUGAAUUAGUUGCUUCUUCCUCCUGUGUUUCUCCAACCGAGGGCCACUGCUUAAAUUGAACAAAUGAUGCAUCACAAAAUUACAAGGGGACUCUUCAAAUUCAAGGUUGGUGCAAUCUGUAUAUAAUUGUAUUGUAACAGUGGUCCAGCAGAGGGCAGUAAAGUGUCAUGAAACAGAGUUGCCUGGUGACCUGUGCUGCACCUUUGUGAGUUCGCAGCGACCGGGCUUCACACACGGGACUUAUUGGAGUCACUACUAAGCUGAGGCCACAGCAGAAAGACCACUACAUUUUGCAUGACCUAGGGGCUCCAUGCCAGCCUGUCUGCACCAGAGCCCUUUCAAAGCACGUGGUUUAGUUCAGGGCUCACAUUGGAUGUUGCCUGGUGUUGUUUGGCCAGCAAGGGCUCCCUGCCAGGAUCCAUGAGUCGGCGUCUUGAAGUGAGAGACAGGACCCUCUGCUCUUCAGGUUCUAUCAGUGCAAAGAGGGCCCACUAAGACCGUCUCCGCAGGGCCCCAUCUGACAGGCACCAGACAAAGCUCCUCACACUCCGUAAAUGCCACUCAUCAUGAAUGUGGCUAUGAUUAAAUCGUGAUGAGGACAGUGACCCACAAGACUGGAAAACCACUUUGGCACCUUGACGCAGAUGUUUUCAAGGACCGGGUUAGAGAACGUGUACCAUCAUUCCACUUUUAGCUGUUUUGUUUCAUUACAACCUUUUUAGUUUAGCAUGACAACCAUAACAAGUACAAUAUUUUGG